Molecule: long non-coding RNA, 479 nt
Filed under: Anser brachyrhynchus (Pink-footed goose)
Lineage: Eukaryota; Metazoa; Chordata; Aves; Anseriformes; Anatidae
Description: lncRNA (ENSABRG00000011342.1)
Source: RNAcentral
CGCAGUGCCACCUGCAGCAUCGUGAAGGGCUUUUUCCUUUGUGGACUCAGCAUGGGUUUGUCCUUUGGAAUACCUUUCUUUUGGUGCAAUCUUGAUGUUCAGCAAUGACAGAAAACUUGAUGUUCAGCAAUGACAGAAAACACCUUGACGUUCAACAGAAAUGACUCAAGAAGCAUUGGAUUUUUUUUGCCUUGAAGAACUUUUUUGUCCUAUUUUUGAACAAAGAAGAAUCCAUGUACUUCUAGCAGAGCUGAAUUUUGACACAUCUGGGAAUAGCAACAAUUGUAGGUCUGAGUCCAAUGAUUUUGAUUGGAGGUUCAACCUUCAAGUGUAGUACAGAUCACACUUUAAAAUACCUGUCAGUUUUUGAUUUGUCUUCUGUCACCAAAAGGAAGAGCAAGUUAAAUGGUCUGUAGUAAAAAGCAAUUGAACAAAUCAUUAAAAAUAAAUAAAUAAAUAAAUAAAAAUAAAUGAAAAGA